AUGCAGUGCUGUUUCUUUUUUACGUGAAUGGGGACAGAAGAUGUGGGGACUCCGUAUUUCCGGAGAAGUUUCCCCAUGUAUGACGACUUCCGCUUCUGAGAAAUCCGGGAAUGUGAAAAAGGCAACAAAAUGCAAACACUAACUAGUAGCUCUACAAACCAGUGUGUUUAUGUUUAUGAUAAAAAUUAAAAUAAGAAUGACAAUAAACACCGGUUUGCAAUAUAAAGCAGCUAGACGGACUGUUUUUGUAAAGAAACAUUUGAAAAUGCUUCUCGGAGGCCUUCAGCAUUCCUUCGUGGGAGAGGAGUGUAGUUCAAGCAAGAAAACCAAAACUAAAAAAAGAACAACGAGCUGGCAAGAGACGCAAAAGAGAACUCAAAAUGGAGGAGGAAGACAAGUAACUUGGCUGAAAGAAUAAUGAUAUAAAG
This is a long non-coding RNA of Sinocyclocheilus anshuiensis, 428 nucleotides long. RefSeq lists it as uncharacterized. NCBI's taxonomy places the organism in Eukaryota, Metazoa, Chordata, Actinopteri, Cypriniformes, Cyprinidae. The transcript has 3 exons. The record is from RefSeq and is a predicted model, not a curated record.